This 64-nucleotide small RNA is filed under the name uncultured Sporosarcina sp. RNAcentral's name for it is "Bacillaceae-1 RNA". It matches the Rfam family "Bacillaceae-1 RNA". The record is from RNAcentral. Lineage: Bacteria; Bacillati; Bacillota; Bacilli; Caryophanales; Caryophanaceae.
AGAGGAAGGUAGCCUAAGAACGGCGACGUCCUGUCGCAACAGCUGCAUGACCCACUUCAUGUGG